RNAcentral lists this ribosomal RNA (490 nucleotides) under uncultured bacterium. RNAcentral describes it as "bacterial SSU rRNA". It matches the Rfam family "Bacterial small subunit ribosomal RNA", at positions 21 to 507 of the family's 1533-position model. The record is from RNAcentral.
GGCUCAGGAUGAACGCUGGCGGCGUGCCUAACACAUGCAAGUCGAGCGAGAUUUAGUGGAUUGGAGACUUCGGUCAAAGAGAAGCUAAUGAAAGCGGCGGACGGGUGAGUAACGCGUGGGCAACCUGCCCCAUACAAAGGGAUAGCCACUGGAAACGGUGAUUAAUACCUUAUAAGUCGGUAGUCUCGCAUGAGAUAGCCGACAAAGAUUUAUCGGUAUGGGAUGGGCCCGCGUUUGAUUAGCUAGUUGGUGAGGUAACGGCUCACCAAGGCGACGAUCAAUAGCCGACCUGAGAGGGUGAUCGGCCACACUGGAACUGAGACACGGUCCAGACUCCUACGGGAGGCAGCAGUGGGGAAUAUUGCACAAUGGGCGCAAGCCUGAUGCAGCAACGCCGCGUGAGUGAUGAAGGCCUUCGGGUCGUAAAACUCUGUCCUAUGGGAAGAAAAAAAUGACGGUACCAUAGGAGGAAGCCCCGGCUAACUACGUG